RNAcentral lists this small RNA (463 nucleotides) under Pongo abelii (Sumatran orangutan). RNAcentral describes it as "processed transcript". The record is from RNAcentral. Lineage: Eukaryota; Metazoa; Chordata; Mammalia; Primates; Hominidae.
GAUAGAGCAAAUGAUAGAGCAGAGCAAUGCUGCUAAGCAGCUAGGCAUUUUUCUAGGCACUUCUCUGCUGAGGCUGUUUUAAGCACCAUUCAGGAAGAUUACUUGAGAGAGCUGCUGACAACCAUGGGGGAUCGGUUUACGGAUGAGGAAGUGGAUGAGCUGUACAGAGAAGCACCUAUUGAUAAAAAGGGGAAUUUCAAUUACAUCGAGUUCACACGCAUCCUGAAACAUGGAGCAAAAGACAAAGAUGACUGAAAUAACUUCAAAUUCCAGCCAAACGUUUCUUGUUGCCACUUUGGGUAUUCUGAGAUUUCCUCUUGCAUGCCCUUAGCUUUACAGCUUUUGCAUUUCCUGUUGUAUUUAUUCUCAGCCAUUUUGGGCAUAUGUAUCUUUAUAAUCAGACUGGAAACGGGACUUUCUAUUAAUAUCAUUUUCAGAAUAGAAAAUAGGGUAAUUUAACCUA